AUUGGUGAUGAUAGCGGUGAGGGUACACCUGGUCACAUCUCGAACCCAGUAGUUAAGCUCAUCUGCGCCGAUGGUACUUGAGGGGUAGCCCUCUGGGAGAGUAGGACGUUGCCAAUA
Molecule: ribosomal RNA, 117 nt
Filed under: Anaerolineaceae bacterium 4572_78
Lineage: Bacteria; Bacillati; Chloroflexota; Anaerolineae; Anaerolineales; Anaerolineaceae
Source: RNAcentral